RNAcentral lists this ribosomal RNA (253 nucleotides) under uncultured bacterium. RNAcentral's name for it is "partial 16S ribosomal RNA". It matches the Rfam family "Bacterial small subunit ribosomal RNA", at positions 524 to 776 of the family's 1533-position model. The record is from RNAcentral. RNAcentral also lists the same sequence under 1 other name.
GACAGAGGUGCCGAGCGUUAGGCGGAAUCACUGGGCUUAAAGCGUGUGUAGGCGGAUGGGUAAGUACCUUGUGAAAUCCCACGGCUCAACCGUGGAACUGCUCGGUAUACUGCUCGUCUUGAGCCAACUAGGGGCGACCGGAACAAACGGUGGAGCGGUGAAAUGCGUAGAUAUCGUUUGGAACGCCGAUGGUGAAAACAGGUCGCUGGGGUUGUGCUGACGCUGAGACACGAAAGCCAGGGGAGCGAACGGG